Molecule: long non-coding RNA, 4835 nt
Filed under: Brachypodium distachyon (stiff brome)
Lineage: Eukaryota; Viridiplantae; Streptophyta; Magnoliopsida; Poales; Poaceae
Description: long non-coding RNA (BDIS_LNC002131)
Source: RNAcentral
CCGGCAGCGGGCUGCACGAAUCAUCUCCAUCAACACCUGCUGCUCCCCCACGCACCGAAGAAAUCAAGAACCAAGGAACGCGAGCACGACGACCACCUGCAACAUCCUCCCCUUCUCCAAGUGCUGCUGCCCUCUCCUUUGGUUAAAUCCCCACCGAACUCUCUCUCUCUCUCUCCUACUUGUUGCUUGCUGUUUGUGUGUACAAGAACUGAGAAAGAACAUGCUGUUGAUCUUUGGAAAGUUAGCUGAGCCUUGCACUGUGUUAAACUCUCUCUUUAGCUUCUGGCCGAUGUGUGCACUUAAUUAUUGUUCUAUGUUAUAAUCUACUCUGAUAUUUGUGAAUGUGGCUGUGUGUAUACUUGUUGAUGUGUUUCGUGCAAUUUUCUAUCCCUAUCUAAAAACUUGCUUCUUCCCAGUCUUAUAUGUUUGCUGGUGAAAUUACUUUCUGUCAAUAUUGUUCUUUGUCUUUGCUUCUGCCCCUGUCUUUGAUGUAUGCUUGUCUUAGUGUUUUAGAUUCUAAAGUAAAUUGAAAAUACCAAAAAAAUAUUGCAGUCAUUCUGUACCUUGAAUCUCAUAAUUGUUUCUAUCCUUAUCUUGGAUAAUUGCUUGUGAUGUUUCGUGGUAGAUGAUCUUGUCUUGCUUUAUAGUGGGAAAUCUUCUCUUUGUUUGUUUUAAAUGCCAAAAUCCUUUCUUGUGAUCUAGCUUUAACCGAACAUUGUUGUCGCUGCCUAGUGCCUGUGGAGAAUCUCAACAAAAACUACUAUAUUUGCAUUGAUCAAAUUGGCGCCGUUGCCGGGGACUAGCAGCGAGCGAUUGUGUUAGGUUAUAGACUAGGUGUUUUUCCCCUUGUUUAGUAACCCCUAUUCUAGGUGUUUCUCUGUUUUCUAUUUGUUUCUUGUCAUAUUUAACAGGUUAUAUUAUCAUCUUGGUCAUGUCAUACUAUUCAGAUUAUUAUGGAUAUGCGAGCAGUAGCGGCAACAACAUAACAAGUCUUCAAGAUAAGAUAAAUGAGUUGUCUGGUCAGAAGCAAAUGUUAUCAAGUAAAAUAGAACAACACAAUUUGCAGCAAGGAAAUGGUCUUCAGGGAGGCCCUGCUAUUUUGAUCCUUAUUCUGUAGGCCAUCCCCAUACUUAUGUUGCUCCUGAAUGUCAUAUUUGUGGAUAUCAAGGUCAUAUUCCCGUCGAGUGUCAGCUGGGUAAAUCUUUCACCCCAAAUUGUUAUGAUAUGGGUUUUACUCCACAGCAUGAUCUGUACCACAACAAUUACCCCCUAGUGGGCUUGAUAACCCAAAUAUUACAUUUAGGAACAGCAGCCCUGAGGACUCAUCUUUUUCUUCUAGCUAUCCUAUGCAGGGAUUUAGGAAUGAAGAGGCGAAGUCACAAGCUCAGUUAAAUUUUGAAGCAGAACAACAAGCUUGGUUUGAAGAUUUUAUGAAGACGCAGCAAGAGAAGAUGGUUCAUCCACAAUCAGCUAUACUUUCAGAUGUAGAUCAAGAACAUGUGAUUUCAGAAAAUGAAGAAAAAGUUGCUCAGAUUUGGGAAGAAGAGAGAUCCGAGAUUAAAGAAGAUGAUGCACUAGAAGACAAGACACACAAUGAGCAAGAGCUGGACUAUGGAAGUAGCAAAGAUAUAGUGGCUGCCAAUCUUGAAGAUAUUGAAGAUAAAGAGGCUAAUGGAGUGGAAAAUGAAGAUAAUGAGGAGAUUCAAGUCGACAUGUCAAUUAUCAUUCAGGAGUGUGAUGAAACAGGUUUAUCAAACCCAAUUAAUGACAUUCUUCCUUAUGAAUUCCCUGCUACUACCUUGCAUUGCUUGAUACCAUCACUUAAGGUAGAACUGAAUUGUGACUUUCUUAAAUUUGAUGAUGCAUACUUUGUUAGUGACAAUACUGAAAUUCAUGAUGAUGACUCAUGUUAAUCACAUGCUAAAAUUCUGCUUAUGGAUGCAUGCUCUAAGAUUACUCGCGUCUCACAUGUGAAUAUUUAUCAUUCUCACCUUGUGCUUUAUUGCUACGCUUACAUCAUUGGUUUUUCAAUUGAUGACUUAGAGGGUGUUGGUCCUUUGACCUCUCCUAGGUGCUAUUCAUAUGAUAUAACUGAGUUUAAUGUGAUAUAUCAUCAUCGCCAUGUUUUUUAUCGAUAUGUGUAUACCAUUGGAUACUCCAUUGAUAAUUUGGAGGGGGUUGACCCUGUCUCUUUUAGUUCUUGUUGUGAGUGUAUUUCAGGCAUAUCAUAGGUGCUUUGUCAGCUUGGAAAAGUCCAGAUUCGAGUUGACAUUCCUUGGGACCCUGGUGGAUAUGAGGUUUUGAGAUGGUGUAGCAAAGAGAGUUGUAUCACACUUGAAAUAAAAUGCUGAAGCAGAUGGGAUCGAGGGAAUCAAGAAGAGUUGUCGAAUUCAGAAGAUGAGUGGCUUGGUCUGAAGGGAAGGUGUAGUCUGAUAAAAAUAUAGUUCAAAUCAUCUAAAACACCAGGUGACUUGUUUCCAGUAUAUGAGAUCAUGUUUCUUCCAUUGCCUGCAACUUUUCUCAAACUGAUCACUGCUAUUCGUUAUUGGUCACAUCAUUGCUUUCUUGUUGAAGCUGUUCUUCUUUGAGAAUCACAUAACAUUGCUUUAACUUGUUGUUUUCUUACCGAAAAAAAAAGCUGCAUUAAUUUUUUUUGUGAUUGCUAUACUCCAGGAUCUUCAUAAUGAAAAGAUACAUCAACUUUCAGUUUAAACACAACAGCUAUUGGUGCAUGUUCUUAUUGCAGUAAUCUAAAGUAUACUUCAGAUUUGUUUUAUUUUCUGCUCUCAUUCCUAAUAAAUUAAGAUUCUGACAAAUCUGAAUGUCUCCUUAUGCUAGUUAGUCCUGUAUCGACUCAAUUGAUUAGUUGCUAAGUAGUAGCUAUGAUCCCGGGAUCUGUAGCUUGUGAAAACAGUGCUAUUGAUCAUAGGUUUCUUUACAAAAUCUUUUAUCCUGUUGCAAUUUGAGCUUUCAAUAAGUGGCUUGUCCACAAGUCUUUAAAUCUCUGAAUAAGUGGCUCAGCCACAGUGUUAUCCUUGCAAAUAAGUGACUAUGUCACAAUUUGUUUCAAUAAGUGGCAGUCCACAUUGCCUUGCUCUGUUUGAAUAAGUGACUCUGUCACAUCUUUAGUUUGGAAUAAGUGGUGCAAGCACCACAAUUUAUUGCAUUUCUUGUUUCGUUUUUAUUUUUGAAAAACCAUGAACCGUGACUCGUUACUGGACUGCUGUCAUAGUUUGAAUUCAGUUUGCAAAAUCUUCUUUAUUAGUUAGGGGAGCCUAAAAUAGUUUAAAUCUUCAGUAUACUUUGAGUACAAUAAUCAGAACAUACAGCUUUACCUGUUAAGUUUAAACUGAAGUUUCUUGGGUCCUUUUUAUUGUGACGGAAAUCCUAGUUGGAGUGAUUACAUACCUCGUUUCAUGCUGUUGUCUCAUUUGCGAUCUGUUUCCUCAUUUGCAUAUCUCUUUGCUUGAGGACAAGCAAAAGUUUAAGUGUGGGGGUGUGAUAAGCAUCAUAUUUGCACUAUUUUCUGGCCAUAAUUAUAUCUGAAAUCUUGUGUUUUGAACUCUGAAUUAUUCUAAAAUGCCAAGAAUUUAUACAAAUACUUGUAAUAUGUGGCAAAAAUUACAUUGUAGCUUUUCUUUUGCAGUUAAGUGCGAAAAGGCACAUACUCUUCUCAUUUUGGACGAGCUGCUGAUGCACCUAUACACCGAAGGACUUGAGCAUAAGGAAAGAGGAAAGAAAGGGCUGAAGUGAAGAAAAAAAAGACCAACUUGCAAAAGAAGAAGAAAGGAGAAGGGCCUGGAUGUAAAAAUGUCAAAGGGAUUAAACCCUAACUCCUGCUCUCGAUCCCCUUGAGCCUGGCACUUCCCCUUUCCCCUAUCUCCUGCUGCACCACCGGCCGCCGCCGCAGCCAGGCUAGCGUGGCGGUGCACCACCGAGCUAGCUGCAGCCCCUUCCCGAUAUCCACUACUGCUCAUCCUCCAUACCGCCUCUGCCAACAGCGGGCUGCACGAAUCCUCUCCAUCAACACCUGUUGCUCCCCACUCACCGAAGAAAUCAACAGCCAAGGAACGCGAGCACGACGACCACCUGCAACAUCCUCCCCUUCUCCAAGUGCUGCUGCCCUCUCCUUUGGUUAAAUCCCCACCGAACUCUCUCUCUCUCUCUCUCUCUCUCCUACUUGUUGCUUGCUGUUUGUGUGUAUAAGAACUAAGAAAAAACAUGCUGUUGAUCUUUGGAAAGUUAGUUGAGCCUUGCAUUGUGUUAAACUCUCUCUUUAGCUUCUGGCCGAUGUGUGCACUUAAUUAUUGUUCUAUGUUAUAAGACUCGUAACCUGUUUGUUCAUAUGUCAGGGAAGAUCUUUGAGUUGUUCUACUCUAAUAUUUGUGAAUGUGGCUGUGUGUAUACUUGUUGAUGUGUUUCGUGCAAUUUUCUAUCCCUAUCUAAAAACUUGCUUCUUCCCAGUCUUAUAUGUUUGCUAGUGAAAUUACUUUCUGUCAAUAUUGUUCUUUGUCUUUGCUUCUGCCCCUGUCUUUGAUGUAUGCUUGUCUUAGUGUUUUAGAUUCUAAAGUAAAUUGAAAAUACCAAAAAAAAAUAUUGGUGUCAUUCUGUACCUUGAAUCCCAUAAUUGUUUCUAUCCCUAUCUUGGAUCAUUGCUUGUGAUGUUUCGUGGUAGAUGAUCUUGUCUUGCUUUUGAGUGGGAAACCUUCUCUUUGUUUGUUUUAAAUUUCAAAAUCCUUUCUUGUGAUCUAGCUUUAACCGAACAUUGUUGUCGCUGCCUAGUCCCUGUGGAGAACAUCGACAAAAACUACUAUAUUUGCAUUGAUCAAUAUUGU